AGUGGAAUUAUGAAGAUGUAAAGGCUAUUCCUGGACUCACUGAUACUACUGUGCCUCAUCGCCUGGGGCCCAAAAGAGCCAGCAGAAUCCGCAAACUUUUCAGUCUCUCUAAAGAAGAUGAUGUCUGCCAGUAUGUUGUGAGAAAGCCCCUAAACAAAGAAGGUAAGAAACAUAGAACCAAAGCGCCUAAGAUUCAGCAUCUUGUUACUCCACGUG
Non-coding RNA from Callorhinus ursinus (northern fur seal), 216 nucleotides. Lineage: Eukaryota; Metazoa; Chordata; Mammalia; Carnivora; Otariidae. The record is from RefSeq and is a predicted model, not a curated record.